UGAGUGUGUUCAAGGGACUGGACUGC
RNAcentral lists this non-coding RNA (26 nucleotides) under Homo sapiens (human). Lineage: Eukaryota; Metazoa; Chordata; Mammalia; Primates; Hominidae. The record is from RNAcentral.